RNAcentral lists this ribosomal RNA (253 nucleotides) under uncultured bacterium. RNAcentral's name for it is "partial 16S ribosomal RNA". It matches the Rfam family "Bacterial small subunit ribosomal RNA", at positions 524 to 776 of the family's 1533-position model. The record is from RNAcentral.
UACGUAGGGACCAAGCGUUGUUCGGAUUUACUGGGCGUAAAGGGCGCGUAGGCGGCGUGGCAAGUCAUCUGUGAAAUCUCCGGGCUUAACUCGGAAAGGUCAACUGAUACUGUGCGACUAGAGUGCAGAAGGGGCAACUGGAAUUCUCGGUGUAGCGGUGAAAUGCGUAGAUAUCGAGAGGAACACCUGCGGCGAAGGCGGGUUGCUGGGCUGACACUGACGCUGAUGCGCGAAAGCCAGGGGAGCGAACGGG